This is a long non-coding RNA of Dermochelys coriacea (leatherback sea turtle), 274 nucleotides long. RefSeq lists it as uncharacterized. The transcript has 2 exons. The record is from RefSeq and is a predicted model, not a curated record. NCBI's taxonomy places the organism in Eukaryota, Metazoa, Chordata, Testudines, Dermochelyidae.
CCCCUGCCGGAUGCACCCUCUGUCCUGUCUUCAGCCACCCCCGCACCCCCUGCACCCCCUGCCUCCAGCUAGCCCUGCCCCACGCCCCUGUCUGCAGCUGGCCCCAGUUCACUGGUGCCCUGCAGUUCCCAGGGCAGUAACCUUGCACACCUGCUUCAAGGAGGGGGGUAGGGAGCAGCUGGGACCCACACAUGUGCACACCCUAGGGUGACCAGACAGCAAGUGUGAAAAAUCAGGACAGGGGGUGAGGGGUAAUAGGAGCCUAUAUAAGAAA